Molecule: ribosomal RNA, 486 nt
Filed under: uncultured bacterium
Lineage: Bacteria
Description: partial 16S ribosomal RNA
Rfam family: Bacterial small subunit ribosomal RNA
Source: RNAcentral
AUUGAACGCUGGCGGCAUGCCUUACACAUGCAAGUCGAACGGCAGCACGGGUGCUUGCUCCUGGUGGCGAGUGGCGCACGGGUGAGUAAUACAUCGGAACAUGCCCUGUUGUGGGGGAGAGCCCGGCGUAAGCCGGAUUAAUACUGCAUACUAUCCACGUAUGACAGCGGUGUUCCUUCUGACCUCGCGCUUUGCGGUUCGCCGAUGGCUGAUUAGCUAGUUUGAGGGGUAAAGUCCUACCAAGGCUAAGCUCAGUAUCUGGUCUUAGAGGACGACCGGCCACACUGGGACUGGGACACGGCCCAGACUCCUACGGGAGGCAGCAGAGGGGAAUUUUGGAAAAUGGGCGAAGGCCUGAUCAAGCAAUGCCGCGUGGGUGAAGAGGGCCUUCGGGUUGUAAAGCACUUUGGUCCGGAAAGACGUUCUUGACUCUAGAACAGUCGGGGGAUGACGGUACCGGAAGAAUAAGCAACGGCUAACUACGUG